CUGGGUUGCCACCUCCCCUUCUGCCACCCUGUUUGGUCCCUUGGCAGGGCCUGCGUGCCAAGUGCUGGCUCCGCAGUGCCCACUAGCUGCCCCUGUGCCCAGCACGUACCUUGGCGCACGCCCUGCAGUGCCCUGCAGGCCUCUGGUGGGGCUGCCUGUGCCCCGCCCUUCCAGGCCUGCUGAGGCCCAACCUCUGCCACACAGGCCUAUGUGGAGAAGUACAAGUUCACCAGCGUGGUGGCCCAGGACCUGCUGGACUCCUUCCUGAGCUUCUUCCCGGAGCUGAAGGAGCAGAGCGUGGACUGCCGGGCAGGGCUAGAAUUCGAGCGCUGGCUCAAUGCCACAGGCCCACCGCUGGCUGAGCCGGACCUGUCUCAGGGAUCCAGCCUGACCCGGCCCGUGGAGGCCCUUUUCCAGCUGUGGACCGCAGAACCUCUGGACCAGGCAGCUGCCUCAGCCAGCGCCAUUGACAUCUCCAAGUGGAGGACCUUCCAGACAGCACUCUUCCUGGACCGGCUCCUGGAUGGGUCCCCGCUGCCGCAGGAGGUGGUGAUGAGCCUGUCCAAGUGCUACUCCUCCCUGCUGGACUCGAUGAAUGCUGAGAUCCGCAUCCGCUGGCUGCAGAUUGUGGUCCGCAACGACUACUAUCCUGACCUCCACAGGGUGCGGCGCUUCCUGGAGAGCCAGAUGUCACGCAUGUACACCAUCCCGCUGUACGAGGACCUCUGCAC
Molecule: small RNA, 731 nt
Filed under: Pan troglodytes (chimpanzee)
Lineage: Eukaryota; Metazoa; Chordata; Mammalia; Primates; Hominidae
Description: retained intron
Source: RNAcentral